UCUAGCACGAGUGAAUGGGAUGUGUUGGAGUCUGUUGGAGUGGAAACUCUAAAACACUGAGUUUCCUGUUGUGAUGUGCGAGUGAAUCCUGCACCCAGAUACACAACUCUGAAUACAUAAGAACAAACUUAUUUUGUGAAAUGUAUGACAACAUAUCUCAUGUUUUGUCUUGACGGGGAAAGAAGGAAAACUGAAUAAAACGGGUCUGUGGCCUAACUGAGGGAAUAGCUCAGGCCUGGGGAUUGAACUCGUAUCUAAUAAGAUAUUAGGGUUAUGUUGUGUGUUGUGUGGCUGAUGGAUGGAUGUUUUGGAGUUAAUCUAGUUGAUGAUUUUUCUUUUGUUGCAAAGUUGAGCCUGCCAAUUAGGGUUGGUAUGAUUUACCCUCCUGAGAUGAAGAGCAUGUGUCAUGACUUAACAAGGCCUUUUUAUUUAGAUACUUUCACAGGUAGAGGUUUGAUCCUUAAUAGUCUGCAAAGACUUUGUGUGCAUUCCUUAGUGUUCUGGCAUUCACACCCACAUCCUGGGAGCAUGGGAGAGUCGUACCUUCUCUUAUUGUUUCAUGGUAGGAUAAACAAAACUACACACACACACAGACUGGUACCUUUGUUCAAGUGUAUGCCUGUGUACAUGUCAUAUGUUAACAGAGGUGGGUAGUAACGAGCUACAUUUACUCCGUUACAUUUACUUGAGUAAGUUUUUGAAAAAAAUGUACUUUUUAGUACCUUUUUUGCACGAUACUUUUUACUUUUACUUGAGUACAUUUAUGAAGAAGAAACGGUACUUUUACUCCGCUACAUUUGCAAAAUUCGACUCGUUACUUUAAAAAAAAAAUUAGUUUAACACAUUAGAUAACAUGCCGCCAGUGGAGUUUCCGGUAACUUUUUUACCAAUGAGACGUGGCCAUACAGUCACAUGACCAGUUUGAAACCGUGGCGGGCAGAGCGGCCCAAGUGUUUCAAAGUAGCGACACACGGAAAGAAGAAAUAUGAUGGCAGAGUCUACGCUAGAGCUGAAGAGGAUGAACACCUUUGGCCUCACAUACAAAGAAUGUUUCGCUUAAAAGCGGCACAAAAGAACAGCUAUGUCUGCAGUGUCGGUGUCUUCAGGGAGAGCCAAAACAAACCAACUUUUCAGCGUGAAACAAAUCAGCUCGUAACCUGAUGAAACGGUCUCAACUUCAUCAGACAUCACCUAGACACAGAGCUGGAUGAGGCCAGCACAAACAGCGGCCUAACCGACGAAGAUGAUGGAUCCAUGGGGUCAGGAAAGCCAGACGCAGAGGAGCUGGAGAGAUACUUUUCACUGUCCAAUCACUGGAGGUGUGGAACUAUUGCAUGGCUUUCCUCAGAUCAAGAAGCUGUCAUGCAGGACUCCUGUUCACUGCCAAACGGUCGCAGCUUCACACCAAGAACCUUGAAAGCCAACUGCUGCUGAAGCUGAACCACCAUUUCACUGACUGAAGAAACAAUUUAUGGUAAAGUGAGCCAUACACAUAUGUACAUCCACAUAGUGGAAAUUUGUAUUUGUCUUUUAUAAUUAGUUUUACUCUGAUUUCAGUGUUUAUUUGUGAGUGUAGUUUUUACAUUUUUACAUAUUACAUUGAGUUAAUCCACUGUCUAUACUUCAGGGUAUUUUAGUAUACAAAAUAAGUUUUGUUAGAAUGCCUAUUCCUGUGGAAGAUUAGCACAGAUGUUUUGUUUUGUUUUGUUUUUUUUAAUUCCUGCUGUCCGCCUUGGGAAUAAACUUUUCCUGAUUA
This is a long non-coding RNA of Oreochromis niloticus (Nile tilapia), 1756 nucleotides long. RefSeq lists it as uncharacterized. The transcript is spliced from 2 exons. Lineage: Eukaryota; Metazoa; Chordata; Actinopteri; Cichliformes; Cichlidae. The record is from RefSeq and is a predicted model, not a curated record.